This 303-nucleotide ribosomal RNA is filed under the name uncultured bacterium. RNAcentral describes it as "partial 16S ribosomal RNA". It matches the Rfam family "Bacterial small subunit ribosomal RNA", at positions 507 to 809 of the family's 1533-position model. The record is from RNAcentral.
AGCAGCCGCCACGGGAAUACGUAGGUGGCAAGCGUUGUCCGGAAUUAUUGGGCGUAAAGCGCGCGCUGGCGGAUAGGUCAGUCUGUCUUAAAAGUUCGGGGCUUAACCCCGUGAUGGGAUGGAAACUGCCAAUCUAGAGUAUCGGAGAGGAAAGUGGAAUUCCUAGUGUAGCGGUGAAAUGCGUAGAUAUUAGGAAGAACACCAGUGGCGAAGGCGACUUUCUGGACGAAAACUGACGCUGAGGCGCGAAAGCCAGGGGAGCGAACGGGAUUAGAUACCCCCGUAGUCCCUGUCUCUUAUACA